GUUUGGGGUUUAGGGUCUUAGGUCAAGGGUCUAGGGUCUAGAACUUAGGGUUUGUGGUUUAGGAUUUAGAUUUUAGGGUUUAGAGUUUAAAAUUUAGUUCUAUGACUAAUCUAUUAUCAAAUAUUAUGUUUGCUGACUUCUAUGAAUCCACCCAUACUCGAUUGGUUUAAUUUAUUUUAUUUAUUAAAGAAAAAAAGUUAAGGCCUUUUCAACUUGGAU
This 219-nucleotide long non-coding RNA is filed under the name Elaeis guineensis (African oil palm). RNAcentral describes it as "long non-coding RNA (EGUI_LNC000035)". Lineage: Eukaryota; Viridiplantae; Streptophyta; Magnoliopsida; Arecales; Arecaceae. The record is from RNAcentral.